Molecule: long non-coding RNA, 1586 nt
Organism: Cyprinus carpio carpio
Lineage: Eukaryota; Metazoa; Chordata; Actinopteri; Cypriniformes; Cyprinidae
Source: Ensembl
CAACUAUUCGCCGUGCUCGAGGCCUUUUAAAUACCUCAGACUCAGUGUCUGGACCCGGGACACACUUGUUGCUAGUUCUGUCCAGUUCUGCACUCCACUGGUACUGAUUUACUGAGCCUUGGCCUUCUUGCAAUCCCGCACUCACAAAAGAGGUGUGAUCUGUUAUCCCCACAGUCGCCACCGAUGAUACUGGAGCAACGAGAGCAAGACUGCAUGGAGCCAAGGAGACGAGCAUCGAUCCUGGCAAUUUUUCCCCUUGGACACCCUGAUUCCUGAUGAGCACAGCAUGGGUGACAUUCGAGUGAAAGUGUUUACAGGUUCCUAUAUCUCAGAUCACAACAGCGCCAAGCAGAGGAGCAGCCAACAAGAAGCAGGUCCAACAACAUGCCUCUCAGCACGAGCGGGAAGUCUAAUUUUCACAUCUGCUCAUUGCUUAGCAGCCAGUGGUCCCCAUUGAAAUGAUAUGGAAAAGAGCAGCGUGAACAUCCUGCCCAACAUCUCCUUUUGUUUGAUGGCGAACAGAAAGUCAAAGGGGUUUGGACUGACAUGAAGCCAUCAAUAGGAGGGAAGAAGGAUCAGCAGGACCCUUGAAGGUGGCCACUGUCAGACAGGUUUAUGGAUGGUGUAGUUCUUCACCAGAACUUCGGCUUUUACACACCACCUCAGGAGCUUAUGCUGAGUCUGUAUUGAAAGGAUUCUGAUAUUUCAUCCAAAAAAGAGCCUACGCAAUCGCACUGAAACCUGAUCCGGGACUCGCAUGAGCCGGGAUUAACAAAAAAUAUUUCAUCUCUGCCUUCUUCCCAGCACCUUGGCCCCUCUUGCUGAUCUUAUCUCCCAAUUACUGCCCUGCAAACAUUCCUGCACUCCAAACAGACUGCGAACGUGGAACGCUGGAGUCCAAGAUCACCUGUUCUUUUCUAGACAUGCAUCUACUUCCUGUUCUGAAGCAACAGUAAGCAGGAGUUUGACCUUGGCGGAGAUUGUGGGGCCACACCGGAGAGAGGGCGAUAGGUGGGAAAGACAUCUCCCGCUCCUGAAUUUGAUCCAGGAUCUGCUCCAUCGACAUGUGUUCAGUGACGUUACGUCACAGGCCAGGAGCCCUAAAAACAAAGUAUGCAGAAGACGUGCCAGUCUAAGAGGCUGUGUGAAGCUCUCUUAAGGACUCAUUCAUCAUUGUAAAAUGGUCAUCCUCCAUUUCAGAAUAAACAGGCUGUCGUUUUUAAUGCAUUCAUUCAUGGGUGGCCACCCCUGCCCACCCAAACAGCCCAUUGGAAGGUCUGGAGAGGUAAUUUUCUUUAAUAACAUACCGUCGUAGUUUGAACAUGGUUAUUAAAAACCACCACUAUUCUGGGCUUGAAGGGUUUUGUGCCAGCCGACAGUCCUCUGCCAGUCCUACAUCUCUGAACUAAUUCCUCAAAAAUAGGAGAAAAAUUGCUGAGCCACAUUUAUGACUGAGCAUUUUUUUUUACAGAGGCAGAGACUGACACAGUAUGGCUCACACUGGUUAUUAUUGUUAAGUGUUUUGUGAUUUAACUUGGUGUAAAAUGUAAUUAUUAAAGUGCCAUUCCAGACCAGUUUGUCAAUGC